GACGAACGCUGGCGGCGUGCUUAACACAUGCAAGUCGAACGGAAAGGCCCUGCUUUUGUGGGGUGCUCGAGUGGCGAACGGGUGAGUAACACGUGAGUAACCUGCCCUUGACUUUGGGAUAACUUCAGGAAACUGGGGCUAAUACCGGAUAGGAGCUCCUGCUGCAUGGUGGGGGUUGGAAAGUUUCGGCGGUUGGGGAUGGACUCGCGGCUUCUCAGCUGGUUGGUGGGGUAGUGGCUUACCAAGGCUUUGACGGGUAGCCGGCCUGAGAGGGUGACCGGCCACAUGGGGACUGAGAUACGGCCCAGACUCCUACGGGAGGCAGCAGGGGGGAAUAUUGCACAAUGGGCGCAAGCCUGAUGCAGCAACGCCGCGUGCGGGAUGACGGCCUUCGGGUUGUAAACCGCUUUCGCCUGUGACGAAGCGUGAGUGACGGUAAUGGGUAAAGAAGCACCGGCUAACUACGUG
Molecule: ribosomal RNA, 468 nt
Filed under: uncultured bacterium
Lineage: Bacteria
Description: partial 16S ribosomal RNA
Rfam family: Bacterial small subunit ribosomal RNA
Source: RNAcentral